This 83-nucleotide transfer RNA is filed under the name Auritidibacter ignavus. RNAcentral's name for it is "tRNA-Leu". The record is from RNAcentral. Lineage: Bacteria; Bacillati; Actinomycetota; Actinomycetes; Micrococcales; Micrococcaceae.
GGGUGGUAGUGUAACCACGUGAAAUGGGUUGACACGGACUCAUAAUCCUUUUGUCGUGGGUUCAAGUCCCACACGCCCCACCA